Patella vulgata (common limpet) is the source of this 471-nucleotide long non-coding RNA. RefSeq lists it as uncharacterized. The record is from RefSeq and is a predicted model, not a curated record. The transcript is spliced from 4 exons. Lineage: Eukaryota; Metazoa; Mollusca; Gastropoda; Patellidae.
GAUUUAUCAACUUGCAUAAACAUCUUCGCUUCUGCUGGUAGCUGACGUUGAAUAUCAGGAGCACUGAAUAUACUUUCUAAAUAUAACCAACUCCUCUGACAUUGUAACCAUUCAUCCUAAAAUACAACUGGAAAAAACAAAUUAAAUAUUUAUUACACAUAGAAGCUGGAACUGAAGCUUUAGCAGCAUGUGUUGCAGCCUGUAUUUUAACAGUUGUAGGUGGUGUCGGUAUUCUAGCAGUGGGAGGAAACCGGAGAACCCAGAGAAAACCCACGAGGAUGGAAAGGUGACCCUACUCCAUGUUACGUACAACUGGGGAAUUGAAACCACGCCAGUUGACUCAAUGACAGGCCUUAUGAUACAACACACACACUCUGACCAUUCGACCCACCUCACCCCCCACAGAGGGCUGAAGAUAACCUAGAGUUGUCGCUCCAGGCACAGACUACCAGCAUAAGCUUAUACAAAAAA